UCGUCUUAAAAUUAUCGUUUGGUUGACAAGAUGGAGUCAUGUUUGACUGUCGAGAAGGAGAUUGAAAAAGUCUUAAGUAAAUUUGGUUCUUUUAAUGAUCACACAUGGAAGACUUUGACGGAUUUAAUCGAUUACGUUCAGAGUUUAAAGAAUGAAUUGACUGACGGUUCACCAUGUUUCUCUUCGAUUCCACCCGAACACGAAAUUACUCCGGCUCAAGUCAUGGUGUUAACUCAGUGUGCGAAAAAAGUCAAAGACGUGGUUGCGAAAUUAGCAUCAGAACACAGAGAUCUUCAUGGAACCGUAUCUAAAGUCGGAAAAGCCGUCGAUAAGAACUUUAUAGCAGAUUUUGCUGCCACUAGUAACGAAGAAGUGUUCAGUAGUGCAGAGAACACUCAGCUAUUAAAUCAAGUUAUCAGUGAGCAUUUCUUACGACAGGGCAUGUUGGAUAUUGCCGAAGAAUUAAUUAGGGAAGCUGGUCUACAAAUAGAUAAUGACAAGAAAGAACCUUUUACUGAACUAAAUAGGAUAUUGGAUGCUUUGAAAAAACGUGAUUUAAAACCUGCUUUAGAAUGGGCAAGAUUGAAUAGAAAUAAACUUCAAGAACAAAAUAGUUCUCUCGAAUUUAAACUUCAUAGGCUUCACUUUAUUGAAUUACUACAAAAAGGAAUGAAACACCAGGAGGCUGCAAUAUAUUAUGCUCGUGAAAAUUUUCAGCAUUUAGCUUCUCAUCACGAAAAAGAGAUUCAAGUUCUCAUGGGAAGUUUGUUGUAUUUACGUCAAGGAGUUAAAAAAUCUCCUUACAACUACUUAUUGGAUCCCAUCCACUGGGCAGAAAUCUGUGACGUAUUCACAAGAGAUGCCUGUGCUCUACUUGGACUGUCCGUAGAAAGUCCACUGACCGUCUGUAUAAAUGCGGGGUGUAUAGCAUUACCGGCAUUAUUAAACAUCAAACAAGUUAUGCAACAGAGACAGGUUACGGGAGUAUGGAGUACCAGAGAUGAAUUACCAAUUGAAAUAGAUCUCGGACACAAAUGUCGCUUUCAUUCUAUCUUUGCAUGUCCCAUUUUACGACAGCAGAGUUCAGACAGUAAUCCGCCAAUGAGAUUAGUUUGCGGACAUGUGAUCUCGAGAGAUGCUCUCAAUAAACUUGCAAACGGCAAUAAAUUAAAAUGUCCGUACUGUCCGGUGGAGCAAAAUCCUGCCGACGCUCGUCUCAUCCAUUUUUAGUCACAUCUUCAUCCGAAUCCAGAGUGGCAUUUUACUUUCUUUCCUCCUGGAUUAAAUUGAAUACGUCCUUUUAAUUACAAACCUUAUCAGCAUCAUCCUUGGGAAAAAAUUACACUAAUCUGUUCCCAAGGAGACAAAGGAAAGUACAAAAAUUUUAUAUUUUAAACUGGAGAAGGGUUGAAGACGAGAAUAAAACACUUACUAGGA
RNAcentral lists this unclassified non-coding RNA (1437 nucleotides) under Centruroides sculpturatus (bark scorpion). RNAcentral's name for it is "protein RMD5 homolog A-like, transcript variant X3". Lineage: Eukaryota; Metazoa; Arthropoda; Arachnida; Scorpiones; Buthidae. The record is from RNAcentral.